UACGUAGGGUGCGAGCGUUGUCCGGAAUUACUGGGCGUAAAGAGCUCGUAGGUGGUUUUGUCGCGUUGUCCGUGAAAACUCACAACUCAAUUGUGGGCGUGCGGGCGAUACGGGCAGACUGGAGUACUGCAGGGGAGACUGGAAUUCCUGGUGUAGCGGUGGAAUGCGCAGAUAUCAGGAGGAACACCGGUGGCGAAGGCGGGUCUCUGGGCAGUAACUGACGCUGAGGAGCGAAAGCGUGGGGGAGCGAACAGG
This 255-nucleotide ribosomal RNA is filed under the name uncultured bacterium. Its description in RNAcentral is "partial 16S ribosomal RNA". It matches the Rfam family "Bacterial small subunit ribosomal RNA", at positions 524 to 776 of the family's 1533-position model. The record is from RNAcentral.